Molecule: transfer RNA, 71 nt
Filed under: Candida saraburiensis
Lineage: Eukaryota; Fungi; Ascomycota; Pichiomycetes; Serinales; Debaryomycetaceae
Description: tRNA-Met
Rfam family: tRNA
About the family: Transfer RNA (tRNA) molecules are approximately 80 nucleotides in length.
Source: RNAcentral
UGCAAUAUUAUGUAAUGGUAACAUUUAAGAUUCAUGAUCUUAAUAUGAUAGUUCGAUUCUAUCUAUUGCAC